CUACGGGCGGCAGCAGUGGGGAAUAUUGCACAAUGGAGGAAACUCUGAUGCAGCAACGCCGCGUGGAGGAUGACACUUUUCGGAGCGUAAACUCCUUUUAUAUAGGAAGAUAAUGACGGUACUAUAUGAAUAAGCACCGGCUAACUCCGUGCCAGCAGCCGCGGUAAUACGGAGGGUGCAAGCGUUACUCGGAAUCACUGGGCGUAAAGAGCGUGUAGGCGGGUUAAUAAGUCAGAAGUGAAAUCCUAUGGCUCAACCAUAGAACUGCUUUUGAAACUGUUAACCUAGAGUGUGGGAGAGGUAGAUGGAAUUUCUGGUGUAGGGGUAAAAUCCGUAGAGAUCAGAAGGAAUACCGAUUGCGAAGGCGAUCUACUGGAACAUAACUGACGCUGAGACGCGAAAGCGUGGGGAGCAAACAGGAUUAGAUACCCCGGUAGUC
RNAcentral lists this ribosomal RNA (439 nucleotides) under uncultured bacterium. Its description in RNAcentral is "partial 16S ribosomal RNA". It matches the Rfam family "Bacterial small subunit ribosomal RNA", at positions 339 to 795 of the family's 1533-position model. The record is from RNAcentral.